Molecule: RNA transcript, 1660 nt
Organism: Mus musculus (house mouse)
Lineage: Eukaryota; Metazoa; Chordata; Mammalia; Rodentia; Muridae
Gene: Myef2l
Gene name: myelin expression factor 2 like
Exons: 2
Source: RefSeq, marked validated
GCCGCGCAGCAGCGCCAACGGCGUUAAAAUGGAGAAUGAUGAGUCAGUGAAGGAAGAAAAAUCUGAUUUAAAAGAAAAGUCUACAGGAAAUAAGAAGGCCAAUCGGUUCCAUCCUUAUUCAAAAGAUAAGAAUUCGGGCACUGGAGAAAAGAAAGGUCCAAAUCGGAACAGAGUGUUCAUUAGCAACAUACCCUAUGACAUGAAGUGGCAGGCUAUUAAAGAUUUGAUGAGAGAAAAAGUUGGUGAGGUUACAUACGUGGAGCUCUUUAAGGAUGCGGAAGGAAAAUCAAGGGGUUGUGGCGUGGUUGAAUUCAAAGAUGAAGAAUUUGUAAAGAAAGCAUUAGAAACUAUGAACAAAUAUGACCUUAGUGGAAGGCCUUUGAAUAUUAAAGAGGAUCCGGAUGGAGAAAAUGCUCGCCGGGCACUGCAGCGAACAGGAACAUCAUUUCAAGGAUCACAUGCCUCCGAUGUGGGAUCUGGGUUGGUGAAUUUACCACCUUCCAUUCUCAAUAAUCCAAACAUUCCUCCUGAGGUUAUCAGCAAUUUGCAGGCUGGUAGACUUGGUUCCACAAUUUUUGUUGCUAAUCUUGACUUCAAAGUUGGUUGGAAGAAAUUAAAGGAAGUGUUCAGCAUAGCUGGAACUGUGAAGCGAGCUGAUAUUAAAGAAGACAAGGAUGGCAAGAGCAGAGGCAUGGGCACUGUCACUUUUGAGCAGGCAAUUGAAGCAGUCCAAGCAAUUUCCAUGUUCAAUGGGCAGUUUUUAUUUGAUAGACCUAUGCAUGUGAAAAUGGAUGACAAAUCUGUCCCUCAUGAAGACUACCGUUCACAUGAUAGUAAGACAUCACAGUUACCACGUGGUCUUGGAGGCAUUGGAAUGGGACUUGGUCCAGGUGGACAGCCUAUUAGUGCCAGCCAGCUGAACAUAACUGGUGUAAUGGGAAAUUUGGGUCCAAGUGGUAUGGGAAUGGAUGGUCCGGGUUUUGGAGGAGUGAAUAGAAUUGGAGGAGGAGUUGGGUUUGGUGGUCUGGAAGCAAUGAAUAGCAUGGCAGGCUUUGGUGGAGUUGGCCGAAUGGGAGGCGGCAGCAUGAGCGGCAUGAGCACUGUGACUGGAGGCAUGGGCAUGGGACUGGACCGCAUGAGCUCCAGCUUCGACAGGAUGGGGCCAGGCAUUGGAGCCAUACUGGAAAGGAGCAUCGAUGUAGACCGAGGGUUUUUAUCAGGUCCCAUGGGAAGCGGAAUGAGAGACAGAUUAGGCUCCAAAGGCAACCAGAUAUUUGUUAGAAAUCUUCCUUUUGACUUGACUUGGCAGAAAUUAAAAGAGAAAUUCAGCCAAUGUGGCCAGAUUAACAGAGAUAGCAAGACUCACUCUAACUGUGGACAACACCAUUCCUAAGUUGGACUCCUGACAUCAGAAGCAACAUAACCAGCCUCAAGCUCUUGCUGCCCUGCCCCGUCUGUCAUGAUGGCCUAUAGUUUCCAAUGAAAUCGAAGCAAACCUUUCCUUCUUAAAGUUGCUUUGGUCAUAUAUUUGUAAAAAGUAGUGACAUAAGUAAGUGGCACGCUAGGUGCUGGUGAGCUUAGUUUGAGCUCACUGGAACAAGUGUUUCUGUACUGACACACUGUGUGAGCCUUAAAUAUUUAUUAAAAACAGUUUUCAAAU